CAGUCGCCACGGUAAUACGAAGGGGGCUAGCGUUGUUCGGAUUUACUGGGCGUAAAGCGCACGUAGGCGGACUUUUAAGUCAGGGGUGAAAUCCCGGGGCUCAACCCCGGAACUGCCUUUGAUACUGGAAGUCUUGAGUAUGGUAGAGGUGAGUGGAAUUCCGAGUGUAAAGGUGAAAUUCGUAGAUAUUCGGAGGAACACCAGUGGCGAAGGCGGCUCACUGGACCAUUACUGACGCUGAGGUGCGAAAGCGUGGGGAGCAAACAGGAUUAGAUACCCCCGUAGUCCCUGUCUCUUAUAC
Molecule: ribosomal RNA, 301 nt
Filed under: uncultured bacterium
Lineage: Bacteria
Description: partial 16S ribosomal RNA
Rfam family: Bacterial small subunit ribosomal RNA
Source: RNAcentral